Molecule: non-coding RNA, 105 nt
Filed under: human gut metagenome
Description: Cyclic di-GMP-I riboswitch
Rfam family: c-di-GMP-I riboswitch aptamer
About the family: GEMM was predicted in a large-scale screen for bacterial structured RNA regulatory elements. Genes associated with GEMM are involved in a diverse array of functions, including chemotaxis regulation, signal transduction, secretion and chitin.
Source: RNAcentral
AGGGCAAACAUACAGAAAUGUAUGGACGCAAAGCCAGGAGUCUACGGGUAGUUAUUGAGGAAAGUAAGUUGUUAGUAUAAUAAAUACCUAAGAUAGUUCGGUUGC